Molecule: ribosomal RNA, 2675 nt
Filed under: Triticum aestivum (bread wheat)
Lineage: Eukaryota; Viridiplantae; Streptophyta; Magnoliopsida; Poales; Poaceae
Description: partial small subunit ribosomal RNA
Source: RNAcentral
GUUAAAUUUCGCUGGGUGACCUUUGCCGGUGAGUCGCGUGCCGUCCCACGAGUCGUGCUGCCUCCCAGAGUCCCGGUUCACCCCUCCCACGCGCCGCACCCAAUCCCCUCCUCCCGCACGCCUCGCACCUAAUCGCCUCCAUGAACCCUAGCCCCCAAUGGAUGGGACGCCACACCCUCACUCCUCCCCAGCAGCCUCCAAACCCCCCGCCUCCACCGGAUCCAAGGCGUGCGGCCACGGAGGCGAGCCUCUCCGGCGACGGUGGCAACCUGCAGGCAGAGAAGAUGGGAGAGAGGGAGAGAAGGAAUGAGAGGAGGGAGGUCCGACGGCGGACAGGAGAGGGUCAGCGGCCUGUGCCGGCGAGGUCAGGUGUGACCUGGCAGACCUGGCAAUUGAUGGCGGCCACUCCUGGAUCCUUCUUCCACUUCCCCACUGCCUACCACCAAGCACGGGUCAGGGAGCAUGGGAUUGACGACGGCGGUCGAAAGCCAGGAUGGUUGGCUGAGGAAGAGGGUGAGGACUUGAGGAUUGAAGAGGGUUGCUAUGGAGACUGUUCUUUGCAAGGGUAAAGCAUCAUCAGCACUGGUGGUGGUUGGAUCAUUAGAUGAUUCCCAGUAACUAGGUAUGUCUUCUUAACCAGGUGGACAUUUCCCCAGAUUGGCUCCUCCACAUGUUUCAGACUGACAAAUCAUGACAAUCCUCUUCUUAAAGUACAAAAUGAUGUAGCUAUCUCCACAUGCUUUGAUGAUAUCUUUUUCGUAUGGUUGGAUGGUUCCUUAUCACCGUGAUUCAUAUAAAACUUUGUGAAUUGUAGUGUCAUGAUGAUUUCAUAAGACACAAGGCUUUAAUGUAUAUUUGGAAAGCACAUAAAUGUGAAGAAUCAAUGGUGAAAAUAAGUAAAACACUCUCUAUAUGUUUCCAUUGACAUGAUCAGUGGCUCCAUUUUCUUUGGUAAGUAAUGCUAGGCUACAGGUUAAUAUAUUUUACCAUGCCCAGCUGUUUUUCUCAGUUUCUCCUCUAAAACAUAGACAUCAUUUUCAUUCGGAUUUCAUCCUUAUUAGUUUUAUUUUAUAUGCAUUGAAUAUAACUAUGCAACUAUAGGUACAAGCAUUGCCAUGACAUACAUCCCAUUUUGAGUUUUAUUCAGUCCUCUGUCAUUGUUAUUGCGAUCUUAUUUUGCCGUUGUAAAAAUGGGGUAUAUGUCAUGGUUGUUUAACAGAAGGGAGGUGCAUAAGAACAGAUUUGGUGUUCAUCCGCAAUGUGAGUGCUUUCUGCAACUCCAUUUUGUCGAUAUUUUCUGCGAGACAUGAACACCAAAUCUAUUUAUCUAACAUGUUUUGCAUGUUUUGUCGAGUGCUUUCCUGUGUUUUUAUCUAUGGUCUUUUUUAUCAUAUCUAAUAUCCAGCAUUAUACCAUGUCUCACAGAAUUGCUGAUUCUGCACAUACACCUACUUAUUUUACUUCUGUGACAUGCGGUACAAUUUUUCUCUGGGAUAGGCGAGGCGAUGAUCCAAAAAAUUGGAAAGAAUGGUGCUCCCAUGUUCUCUCUUAUCCAGGAAAAUCAAUACAGCAAAAUGUGUGUUUAAUAAACCUUGCAUUGCUGCAAAAAUUAAUAUUAUGUUUGUGAAUCUAAUGCCAUUGUGGAUAUCAUGAAGAAGAGGGACAUGUUUGUUGCAUUUGAAGGUGUACUUAUGAGUGCAAGGGAGCCUCGAGGAUUUGGGUUUGUCCAGUACUUCAAUCCUGAUGAUGCUGCAGAUGGAAAAUACUACAUGGACGGACAGGUUAUUUGUGGCAAACAAGUAACAGUUUUAUUUGCAUAACAGAACAAAAAGAAGCCUGCUAAGGGGUGUCCCGCGGCAGAUGCGCGCCCAAUGACGCUGUGGAGCUGUCAACUCCCACCCAGAUCGCCACAGAGAACAGUGAAGCAUCCUCCCUUCUCCCUUCCGGUUGCAUCUCCGCCGGGCUUGUCUUAGUGACACAGGCAUGCUGAAGCAAAGAUCCUUUUCCUUCUUUGCAUCCCUCAUUCUCUGUUUUUUCUCACAAUGAAGCACCUUGCUUCUCCACGGCAUUCAACCCAUGAUGGUGUGACUACAGGUGGAUUACAACAUCUUUACCUGAUAAACAUGGAAUAUACAAGAGGAAGGAGCAACUGCAGCAAGCAGUGAUGCUUCAGGCGCUGAUGUGAGGAUUACUGCAUUUGAGAGCAGAGGAAGACAAGCGUAAAACUAUCAUGUUCGCUUCCGCCAUUCAUGCCGAGCGGGAUGCGUGGCAGAGGGGAUUUCUUUUCCGCGAAAACCGGAAGAGAGGAUAUUGAAGCCACCUUUGCCAACAUAGAUGAAGAUGGGAGGAUUGGCCAACUUUGGACUCCAACGGCAGCGAUGAUGAUGAAGACUUGAGCUAUGACUAUGAGUCCGAGUAGUAGAAGAAUCAUUUAUGUUUUUGUGCUUUGUCGACAGGGAUUAGAUUUGUUACAAAUAGAACUCUAUGCUACCAAAUUUUAAUGUGCAUAUACUUUUCAUUGUAGACAGCAAGCCCCUGUUUUUCCAGGAGAUUAAAUUUGUUGUCAUAUGUGCUUGCCUGUAACUAAGCAACUAAACCAUGGAUUACUUUUCAUCGCUAACAUGGAAUCAGCAGGUUUCUGCGCCAUUUGGCGCAACGGGUUCACUAGUUCUAAU